Non-coding RNA from Python bivittatus (Burmese python), 7158 nucleotides. The record is from RefSeq and is a predicted model, not a curated record. NCBI's taxonomy places the organism in Eukaryota, Metazoa, Chordata, Lepidosauria, Squamata, Pythonidae.
UCCAUUGAGGCGAGCGCGUGCUCCGGCGAGCACAUGGGAAACAAGCUGCGAGCGGAGCCUUCUCGCUGCACAACUGCGGCCUUGGCGGCCCUUGCUCCCCCCACCCCCCUUUUUUUUGUUUUUGCUUUAAUCGCAGGGGAUGGCUUUUUAUUUUUGGAAGGAAAACCCCGAUCGAGACAGCGAAUAACUUUGCAAGGCUUCCCGACUGUUUGGAGGGGACUUGGCCGGGCCUGCGAAGGAUGCGUGGUCUCCAUCUCGAUCCCUGGCAAAUCCAACGGCUGUGGCAUCUUCAGCAUCUUGUUCCUUUCAUUCAAGGAUAUCCAAGGCCGUGGGAUUUAGCAAGCUGAACAGAGAUUCCAGAGAAUGUCAGCUGCAGACAAAGCGCCUUGACCAGAAGGAGGGGGAGCAGCAAAUUUUUGGCAGUUCUUGUUCUCCCCCCACCCUCCUUCCCUGAUUCUUGACGUCCAUGAGAGAUUUUUGUUUUGUUUUGUAACACUGAAGUUGGAUUAUUUUCCCACCAUUAUUGGAAUAUGGGAUGGAGUUUUUUGAUGGUCAUAUUUCAUUCUGGAAACCAACGGAGCAUGAAUAAUCAGAACUUGAGAUUUCUCCCACUCUUCCACACAGCUUGAGUAUCUCGUUAGCUGCCCAAGAUGAUGGCUGUUGUAUCAUCCAUGGAUGCAUAUUUGCAAUAUGCAAUACCAAGAAGAGUCUCCUUCAGCUUGUCCUGAAUCUUGGGUGGCUCCAAGUUCUAGAGGGAUCAGAAGAAGAAAGAAAGAAAGAAAGAAAGGAUUCAUUACAGAGGAUUUCAUCAUAGUUCAACAAGGAUAGAAAAACAUUGGAGUAGAUUGCCUCAUGAAGUGUUUUAUUUCUGCUUUUGCUGGAGGUCUUCAUGCCCAAACUGGAUGGUUAUCUGGUCUGAGAUCCUGUGCCAAGCGGGGAGUUGAACAAAAUGACUUCUAAGGCCCCUUUCAAGUUUAUGAUUCUAGGAUUUGUGUAUGUAAUUGAUGGAAGUGAAGGUGCAGAAGAAAGUUCAUACAUGACAACAGUAGCACCAGUUUAACUUUGGCUUUCUCCCAACACAGUGCUACCUUGCAGCCCCAGCAUUGUGCAUCGUGAAAAAUCUAAGUCCUGAUGCUGAGAUGUUGGCUCUUGCUCAUAAGACUUGUAAGCCUACUGGGAGUGGAGGAAUCAUGUUUGGGUACUUUGCGCUCCUUCUCAUAUUGGCAAAGAAUAGAAGUCAUCCAGGAUUCCCAGGAAAGGCCCUCUUCAGCCCCAAUGGCUGGGCUUGCCAGCAGAUUUAAGUUCUUGAUUUCUGGCACGAUUGGAAUGGGAGGGAGCGGACAUUAGUCUGCAAAUUUUGAGCAGGGAAUUGAUACCCUGCAAGAAGGACGGAGCCAGUCGCAGUAGUAUCACAUGAUGAUCAUUAUUCUAUGCCCUGACUUCUGGGAAGAUAGAGAACAAAUGAAACUUUCUGUUGGAGACAUCCCUGUCAGGUACUUGGAAGGUAUAUGAUAGCCCCCCUCAAUCUGAUAGUCCCCCUCAAGGCUAAACUUGCCCCCAUUCCUCAGUCUUUCCUCAAGGUAAGUCUGAUCAAUGCACAGUAUUUACUUCUGAUCAUUUGAAAACGUCUUGCAUCGGCGCAGCCUAAAAAUGCAUUUCCCUUUUUAGCAGCUGUGUCACACAGAUGACUCACAUUCAUCUUCUGAUGGUGUUAUCUUAGUUCACAUUUAGUCUUCAGAAGAUGUUUCUGAGUAUGGGGGAGUGUCAAAGUAGUGCAUCUCUGCAGUGCUGUAGGCCAGCUGUGUCUUUUCCUAGGACAGUGUCCGUGUCCUCCUCUGCUCCUGUAUGAUCCUGGGAAAAGAUGCAGCUGCUUUAAAUCAUCACAGUGAGGGGUUGCGUUGGCCUUCUUGCCUGCUCUGAAGCAACUUCAGAGAUAGAAUCCAAAACUGCACAUCCUUGUUUUCCAUAUAUCUGAGAAAAUUAAGUGUUCUAAUGAAUGCAUGCGCUUGAAAGUAUCUUUUUGUACCUUCGUUAGCUUUGUUGUAGGCUCCCCUCCCUCUCUCACUCUUUCCUGCCUGUCCCCUUUCCUGUUACAGCCUGUUUCAAGAUGUUCAAGUUUUUCCUUUUCUUGCUUAGAAUAGUUCCAUGAUCACUUGAGAUACCAACCCAUCUCUCCAGGGUCACUGAUUGGUCCCACUAGCAUGUGACAAACAAAUGGAGCUGGCUCUUCACAAGUAGGCUUAAUAAAGGAGGUCUUGUCAGGUCUUUCCAAUACUCAGUAUUUAGCUUAAGUCAACUUAGCGCAGAAUGGAGAUGAGCGGGAAUGGUUUCUUAAAUAAUUUAAUCAGUUUGAUUAAAUCAGUUUGGUUUUCAGGGGCCCAGUUGAGGCAUGUGCGCUGCAGCUUUCUGAACCUUUAGAAGAGGUCUGGGGUCACUUGGAGUUGGGAUGGCCGGGCCGGGCCAUAGGAAUGAAAUUAAACUUCCUUUUGUGGUACUGGGGGUGGAGUCAUGGAUCUGAAAAAUAUACGACCCCACCUUCUCUUCUACAUCAGAAUCUUGCAUCUUUUUGAUAGGCUGCUUAGAUUUCAUUGUUCAAAAACAACCCCAUUCUUUAUACUCCUCUCCCCCUCCCCCAAAAGCUGUGACCAGUUUGGGCUAUCAGACUGGCAGCCAUGAAAAAAGCAGCCAGCCUGGGUUUAAUCAGGGCUACUUUUGAUCAUAUCUCAUCUCUUUCCUCCUUCAAGUCUGUGGUUUAUCAGGAAGUGAUAUGGCUUGCUCUCAUUUAGACGAUGCUACUGGCUUUUCGGUUGAUUUUUUCCCAGAAACCUUCUCUGGAAAUUCAGACCUUAUACUAGAAGACAAACAACAUUUGAUUUGCUUAUUACGGUAACUUCCUAAGUCUGUAAAUAGGAAGUCCUCUUGUUGGGCCCUGAGGAAUUCUGUGAACUAAAGAAUUUGCUUAUUUUGGAUAGCUGCUUUUGUCCUGAAAUGUCAGUUGUGCAACCAAAUACCUUUGUCUUUGUCUGGUUCUGAAAGAGGGGAGUUGUUUAUUGAUUAAUUGAUUGAUUGUCACUCUUCUGUCCUGCUUUUCCUUCAGGAUUGCAUACAGAGCAGUCCAUUUCUCAUUCCAACUAUCCUUUGAGGUUGGUUGGGCUGAGAGAGAUUAAUUGUCCUUCGAUCACUUAGUAAGCCUUGAACCUGAAGAUGGCCGGCCCUGAACCUGGAUCUCCCAGAUCCUAAUCCAGUACCUUAACCACUAGAUUACACUGGCUUUCUCACUGAGGAGGGAAUGCAGACAUCUGGGGCAUGUCAGGAGCCCUGCUCAGAAAUGUCUGAUUCUGAUGGGGAACUUUUGCAAUUCUUCAUCUGAAACUAUAGUACACAAACUGAGUUUGUUUGGCAACUCUGUUUAGCAGAGGUUCUCAGGAUAUCAUUUUUUCAUCCUUUGCAGAGUGCCUCUUGCAAAGCUGAGCUUCAGGUUCUCAAGCAAAUCUCGUGCAUAUCUACCCCAAAGGAAAACCAGCACAGUCGCUCAGAUCUUGCCUAAACGUCUUUCUUUGUGACUUGUGAGUUUUUAAGAUUUAAUUGAUUAGUUUUCAGGAGAGUUGGCUUGUUGCAGAAGCCAGCUCAUCACCAUAUUUGUUGAUCAGCAUGAGAGAUACUCACGUUUGAGUAUGUUUCAGAUUGAGAAUGUAUGUCUUCUCAUACAGGUUCAAGCCUGGAUUUUUAUGCUUCUUUCAUCUGUUAGUGCUCGAUGCUAUUUGUCUAAUCUAAUCUAAGUCAGGAUGUACAGUGAAAGCAUAGCUUCAUGGAUCUCAUGCUCUCUUGAAUUUCUGUGCAGUUCAAACCAUGGAAGAUGAAACAUGAGGAUUGAAAACCCAAAACAAAAAUGUGAAUGUUCAGUGCUGAACUCAUAGAAGAGUGCAAUAUAGAAGACUGAACAGCUACCCCCAACCUGAUGCCCUCAAAUCUUAAGUUUAUAACUUGCAUAAUCCAUGAUCAUUACCAUCUUGGCUAGAGGGUGAGGGAAAUUAGACCUAAAGACAUCUGGGUGACAUCUGGACUUCAGGGAUAGUAACAGCUGUAGGCUGUGUACUGUUUACACAUUUAAGGCCAAGUUGGUUGUAGCAUCCAAGUUAAGAUGUUGGGUUAGAACUGAGCAGAUGCAGAUUCAGGCCCACCCUCUGCCCUUUGGGGCAGUUGUGCUCUAUCUGUGCUCAACCAACCUCUCUGGGUAUUGUGGGGAAAGAUAGGAGGAGGAAGGUCUGUGUGUGCUACCAUAGCUAUGGAAGAAAUGUGGGAUGGAAAUCUAAUGAACCAAAUUAUGUAGGUGCCUGACUCACUGCUCCCAUGUUUUUGAGUGCAAGGGUGGAUUUGACAUAGAAGCUUUACAUAUUUGGUUAAGCUGAAGAUUUUUUAAAAAUCCUAGACUCUGUAAAUAAAUGCAGCACGAUGAGAAUGGUACAGGUGUUAUGGAAAGCAGUGUUUGAUUUUAUUUCACUCAUAUGCCACGUACCUGUUAUUUAGAUUUUCCCGCAGGUAGUUCUUUGCCACUGUUCUGAGCUUGUAAAAAGCCUCUUGACUCGUACAGUCGGAACGUCAAUGAUGUAUCAACCAUGGAUGAGUCAGUAGCUCUCUGUAUCUUAUGGCCUGCUUGAUUCCAUGGUAUUCUUUAUUUGCCCCCUUGCCAAUUAUUAUCCCCAAAUGCAUUUGCUACUAGGUAAGCUUUAACAGCAAGGCAGACGUCAUGGAGAAGGGUGGAAGGGGAGAAAAUAUGCUUUUCUUCUUCUGUAUGUCUGUAGAUAAUGCCAAUUCCUGGUUGUUGGCAUAUUAAUAGGGGUGUUUCCUUUUCCCUUUGCCUCCUGAUGAAACUCGGAGUUUUCACUGGCAGCUUCUUUGGCUCUUCUUCGCUGGCUGACCAUACUGGUGAGAGUCCUGCCUCUCAGCUUUUGGUAAUUAGCUGGUCUUGCUAAUGGGAAGUUAACAGGAAGAAGGUUUUGCUUCUACUUUGUCCAUCCAAUCCAGCUUUCCCCAGUCUGCUGCUCUCCAGAUACUAGCUGGGUUAGUGGGGGAGAAGUCUGUUGGGAUUGCAAAUUCUGGGAUCUGCCAAAACCCCGAGCAUGUCUGCUUGGGCACUCUCCAACACAGAGAUGUUGGGCUCAACGAGUCUUCUCUGACCCUGUGCCCUGUUUGGACUGCAAAUCCCAAAAUUCCCCAGGUUGGAUUCUGGCAAGCAGAGAUAUAUGUUGAUGCUGUUCGUUACUCACCGGUAUUGCAAUGUCUGAGCAAAUGGAUUGUUUUGGAAACUUUUCCCUAGGCACAGUUCUGUCUUUUGCAAUUAAAUAAAUAAAUAAAAUCGAGGUGCUUCCAGACCCUCUCCCAGGAUUUGCUUGUUUCUUUUUCUUUCCUUCCCUCCUCACUGGCUUCUUUGCUUCUCUUCGUAGCAGACAGGUGGCUUAUAUGGAGCUUUCUUCCCAAUGGAGUGCAAACCUGACCAGGAGCAAUUGUAUCUGCUUAAGUGUCUUCCAACUGAUGUUUCAUCCAUUCCCUCAUCCAACAGGGCUAACUCUUUCGGCCAAGGGUUCUUCAGGGUCCUAACCAAGUGACAGCACCUAGCCAACCUCGGUCAAUGCUUGGGUGAGGGAUCACUAGAAGAUCCUAGAGUUGUAGGCUAGACUGGGAAGGUGGAAAAAAAGAAGGCAGUGGCAGUCGCUUCUGUACUGUUACUAAGAAGACCAAGGAAUGAAGUUCUUAGUUCUCCAAGGAAAGGACAACCGUACUCAUCCUGUGAUAUGAUCUCUGUUCGUUCUCAUUUGUAUUCUCUCUCACCUUCUCCCUUGCUGCUUUAAUGUGUCCCUUGGCAUGAUUUCUGCCCCCCUGAGGAAGUUGCUGGGUCUUGGGCCAAAGGGGUAGCUGAAAGGAAGGCAGGAACCCAAAAUGCUACACUUGGGAUCCUCUGGCUUCUCUUGGCAUACUUGAAACCAAUUUUGUUUUUUAAAAAAGGAAGCUGGCGUGCAGCCCAUUAAAACACCAACAUCCAAGAUCAUUUUUAUUUUGAAGGCUGUUGUCCCUAUGUAGGCAUCUUCCAGGGCAAUCUUAGAAAAUAAAAAUGUGGCCUGGUGCUUUGCUUAGAAAUAAGUCCGCCUUCCAAAAAUAACAGAUUUGUUAAUUAUGGCAUGUUAUCUUGAUUUGAAUAAUGAUCCGAAGUUUUAAAUUGACCUUUGAUAUUUUAAUAAGUAGGGCCAAAGGAAUGUUUGAUUUCAGGUGAUAAUACUGAUAAGCAAAAAAGCCAACAGGGAAGAGAUUUUUCUUAAUUUUCCUUCUGGUUUUCCUGUUGAUUAUGUUUUUACAUAUUUAAUAAAUAGAGUGGGGGGGUUUUUGAAAAAGAAAUAAAGCAAAAGUCAGGUGGAGGCAUGUAAAUGAGCAUUUUGGACAGCUAGAGAAAGUGACAAGAAGUGGCUCCAUCAGUCCAAUGAUACUCAAACUUGGCAACUUUAAGUUGUGUGGACUUCAACUCCCAGAAUUCCCCAGCCAGCAUAGUAAAAUCUUUCCGCUUCUAGUCCAAGGACUGGAUCUAAACAAGUCAGCCAAUUCAUUAAUAGGAACUUCCAACCCUAAACCCUGGGGGAAUUGCAGAAAACAUGCAGAAGAGAUGCUUCAGUCAUCAGCAAAUGAGACCAAAAAUGUCAGAAGGACUGUUGUAUCUGCUCAUCCCCGCCUUCCCCAAAUCAUCCAGGCUUCUGUGAACCUUCGAUCUAGAUCAGCUGCUGAUGUCUGGAUUACAUUGAGAAGCUUGGCAAAAGCUCUGCCUAAUCUCCCUUUUGGAUAAUGCAGAGCACCUGCACGGGCUUUUGUGAGAGGUGAUCUCUAAAACUUCUGAAGUGUGAGAUGUUUUGUUUUGUUUCCUGACACCGCUCAUUAGUGUAGCACCAGCCUCGGUGGUUGGAAUCAGAUCUGACAUGGUGAAAUGAAAAACAUAGGCAGAUACAGAAUUUAAAACAAAAUGUGUACUGUAUGUGUAAAAGAAAUGCCUGCCUACCUGUACUCCCUCCCUCCCUCCCCUUCGAGCAGCACUCAAGCCAAAAGAUGCUGCUUUUCCUAGCAUCGUUAUUAUGGGAUGUGCUUUGCACCCGCAUAACUGAAAUCCAGAAAGAGUGA